This 73-nucleotide transfer RNA is filed under the name Ixodes scapularis (black-legged tick). Its description in RNAcentral is "tRNA-Ser". Lineage: Eukaryota; Metazoa; Arthropoda; Arachnida; Ixodida; Ixodidae. The record is from RNAcentral.
UCCUGGUUAGUUCAGUUGGGACAGCGCUCCACUGGAAAGGGAGAGGUCCCUGGUUCGAUACCAGGACCAGGCA